This 253-nucleotide ribosomal RNA is filed under the name uncultured bacterium. RNAcentral describes it as "partial 16S ribosomal RNA". It matches the Rfam family "Bacterial small subunit ribosomal RNA", at positions 524 to 776 of the family's 1533-position model. The record is from RNAcentral.
UACGUAGGGGGCGAGCGUUGUCCGGAGUUACUGGGCGUAAAGGGCACGCAGGCGGUCAUGUAAGUCUGUUCUGACAGCUCCUGGCUCAACCGGGAGAGGCGAACGGAAACUGUAUGACUUGAGGACUUCAGAGGGACACGGAAUUCCGGGUGGAGUGGUGAAAUGCGUAGAGAUCCGGAGGAACACCAAAGGCGAAGGCAGUGUCCUGGGAAGUACCUGACGCUCAGGUGCGAAAGCCAGGGGAGCGGACGGG